Molecule: ribosomal RNA, 468 nt
Filed under: uncultured bacterium
Lineage: Bacteria
Description: partial 16S ribosomal RNA
Rfam family: Bacterial small subunit ribosomal RNA
Source: RNAcentral
GACGAACGCUGGCGGCGUGCUUAACACAUGCGAGUCGAACGGAAAGGCUCUGCUUUUGUGGGGUGCUCGAGUGGCGAACGGGUGAGUAACACGUGAGUAACCUGCCCUUGACUUUGGGAUAACUUCAGGAAACUGGGGCUAAUACCGGAUAGGAGCUCCUGCUGCAUGGUGGGGGUUGGAAAGUUUCGGCGGUUGGGGAUGGACUCGCGGCUUAUCAGCUUGUUGGUGGGGUAGUGGCUUACCAAGGCUUUGACGGGUAGCCGGCCUGAGAGGGUGACCGGCCACAUUGGGACUGAGAUACGGCCCAGACUCCUACGGGAGGCAGCAGUGGGGAAUAUUGCACAAUGGGCGGAAGCCUGAUGCAGCAACGCCGCGUGCGGGAUGACGGCCUUCGGGUUGUAAACCGCUUCCGCCUGUGACGAAGCGUGAGUGACGGUAAUGGGUAAAGAAGCACCGGCUAACUACGUG